This 460-nucleotide ribosomal RNA is filed under the name uncultured bacterium. Its description in RNAcentral is "partial 16S ribosomal RNA". It matches the Rfam family "Bacterial small subunit ribosomal RNA", at positions 338 to 795 of the family's 1533-position model. The record is from RNAcentral.
CCUACGGGAGGCAGCAGUGAGGAAUAUUUGUCAAUGGACGAGAGUCUGAACCAGCCAAGUAGCGUGAAGGAUGACUGCCCUAUGGGUUGUAAACUUCUUUUAUAUGGGAAUAAAAUGUUCCACGUGUGGGAUUUUGUAUGUCCCAUAUGAAUAAGGAUCGGCUAACUCCGUGCCAGCAGCCGCGGUAAUACGGAGGAUCCGAGCGUUAUCCGGAUUUAUUGGGUUUAAAGGGAGCGUAGGUGGAUUUUUAAGUCAGUUGUGAAAGUUUGCGGCUCAACCGUAACAUUGCAGUUGAAACUGGCAGUCUUGAGGACAGUAGAGGUGGGCGGAAUUCGUGGUGUAGCGGUGAAAUGCUUAGAUAUCACGAAGAACUCCGAUUGCGAAGGCAGUUCACUGGACUGCAACUGACACUGAGGCUCGAAAGUGUGGGUAUCAAACAGGAUUAGAUACCCCGGUAGUC